Molecule: ribosomal RNA, 481 nt
Filed under: Plesionika nesisi
Lineage: Eukaryota; Metazoa; Arthropoda; Malacostraca; Decapoda; Pandalidae
Description: partial 16S ribosomal RNA
Rfam family: Bacterial large subunit ribosomal RNA
Source: RNAcentral
GUCUGGCCUGCCCACUGAAUUGUUUUAAAGGGCCGCGGUAAUUUGACCGUGCGAAGGUAGCAUAAUCAGUAGUCUUUUAAUUGAAGGCUGGAAUGAAUGGUCGGACAAAGAGUUAGCUGUCUUUAUAUAAAGUUUGAAUUUUACUUUUAAGUGAGAAGGCUUAAAUAUACUAGUGGGACGAUAAGACCCUAUAAAACUUUACAAACACUACUUAACUUUUGAAUUGGAGUUUAACAUUAGUUAUUGUUAAUGUUUGUUAUGUUGGGGCGACAAAGAUAUAAUUUAAGUAACUGUCAGUUUUAUUAUAUAAUUAUAAUUAGUUUAAUUGAUCCUUUAUUAGAGAUUAUAAGAUCAAGUUACUUUAGGGAUAACAGCGUAAUUUUCUCUGAGAGUCCAUAUCGACGAGAGUAGUUGCGACCUCGAUGUUGAAUUAAGAUUUCCUUUAGGUGAAGCAGUUUAAAUGGUAGGUCUGUUCGACCUU